UAAUUUAAAGUCUGACCUGCCCUAUGAAUAUUUUAAAUGGGCUCGGUAUUUUGACCGUGCAAAGGUAGCAUAAUCAUUAGUUUCUUAAUUAGGAACUGGUAUGAAUGGUUGGACAAGAAAAAUACUGUCUCAAUUUUAUUUUUAUUAGAAUUUUAUUUUUAAGUUAAAAAGCUUAAAUGACUUUAAAAGACGAGAAGACCCUAUAGAGUUUUAUAUCAAAUUUUUUAUUUAAAAGUUUAAGUAUUUAUAUGUUUAAUUAAAAUGAUGGUAUUUAGUUGGGGUGACUAAAAAAUUUAUAAAACUUUUUUUAAAUUGUUACAUUAAUUUAUGAUUAAAUGAUCCAUAUUUUAUGAUUAUAAGAUUAAAUUACCUUAGGGAUAACAGCGUAAUUUUUUUUUAGAGUUCUUAUCGAAAAAAAAGUUUGCGACCUCGAUGUUGGAUUAAAAUUAAUUUUUGGUGUAGAAGCUAAAAGUAUUGGG
This 479-nucleotide ribosomal RNA is filed under the name Lepanus politus. Its description in RNAcentral is "partial 16S ribosomal RNA". Lineage: Eukaryota; Metazoa; Arthropoda; Insecta; Coleoptera; Scarabaeidae. The record is from RNAcentral.